GACGAACGCUGGCGGCGUGCUUAACACAUGCAAGUCGAACGGAAAGGCCCUGCUUUUGUGGGGUGCUCGAGUGGCGAACGGGUGAGUAACACGUGAGUAACCUGCCCUUGACUUUGGGAUAACUUCAGGAAACUGGGGCUAAUACCGGAUAGGAGCUCCUGCUGCAUGGUGGGGGUUGGAAAGUUUCGGCGGUUGGGGAUGGACUCGCGGCUUAUCAGCUUGUUGGUGGGGUAGUGGCUUACCAAGGCUUUGACGGGUAGCCGGCCUGAGAGGGUGACCGGCCACAUUGGGACUGAGAUACGGCCCAGACGCCUACGGGAGGCAGCAGGGGAGAAUAUUGCACAAUGGGCGGAAGCCUGAUGCAGCAACGCCGCGUGCGGGAUGACGGCCUUCGGGGUGUAAACCGCUGUCGACUGUGACGAAGCGUGAGUGACGGUAAUGGGUAAAGAAGCACCGGCUAACUACGUG
RNAcentral lists this ribosomal RNA (468 nucleotides) under uncultured bacterium. RNAcentral describes it as "partial 16S ribosomal RNA". It matches the Rfam family "Bacterial small subunit ribosomal RNA", at positions 28 to 507 of the family's 1533-position model. The record is from RNAcentral.